RNAcentral lists this ribosomal RNA (406 nucleotides) under uncultured bacterium. RNAcentral's name for it is "partial 16S ribosomal RNA". It matches the Rfam family "Bacterial small subunit ribosomal RNA", at positions 29 to 526 of the family's 1533-position model. The record is from RNAcentral.
AUUGAACGCUGGCGGCAGGCCUAACACAUGCAAGUCGAACGAGUGGCGGACGGGUGAGUAAUGUCUGGGAAACUGCCCGAUGGAGGGGGAUAACUACUGGAAACGGUAGCUAAUACCGCAUACCAUCGGAUGUGCCCAGAUGGGAUUAGCUAUGAGGUGGGGUAACGGCUCACCUGGGCGACGAUCCCUAGCUGGUCUGAGAGGAUGACCAGCCACACGGGACAGGAGACACGGUCCAGACUCCGACGGGCGGCAGCAGUGGGGAAGAGUGCACAAUGGGAGCAAGCCGGAUGCAGCCAUGCCGCGUGUAUGAAGAAGGCCUUCGGGUUGUAAAGUACUUUCAGCGAGGAGGCGUUACUCGCAGAAGAAGCAUCGGCUAACUCCGUGCCAGCAGCCGCGGUAAUAC